Molecule: long non-coding RNA, 3736 nt
Organism: Mus musculus (house mouse)
Lineage: Eukaryota; Metazoa; Chordata; Mammalia; Rodentia; Muridae
Product: predicted gene, 30985
Exons: 3
Source: RefSeq, a predicted model, not a curated record
AUCAGACAAACACGAACUUUACGUAAACACUAAAUAUUAAUGAGACAGAAGCAGAAAGCAUAUUCUAAAGGAAAAAAAAGCAACGCAGCCCAAGCACGCUCCUGGUUGUUGAGUCAAUAAGGAGAAGGCGCGCAAUGUGGAGUGGGAAUGUGCUCAAUACAGGAGGGACUGCGUGGCCACCUCUGCCGCUAAGGCAUCUCCUGCAGAAGGACCUAAUUGAACACUGCCUGAGAGACCAAGGAUUGCUGACACAGACAAUGCCAGCCAAUCAGGGCUGCUGUUGUGCCCCCUUUGGUUGCUUCUUCAGUGAGUUGGUCUGGCAAAGGUGAGCACACGGACCUCAUUUCUAUCUUCUUUUUCUUUUUCUUUUUCUUUUCUUUCUUUUUUUUUUUUUUUUCUUUUUUUUUUUUUUUUUUUUUUUUUUUUUUUUUUUUUUUUUUUUUUUUUUGCCUGUUCUUCCCUGUGACUGUCAUACUUUCACUUUUGGUCUGGGUUCAAGGAUGAGCAUAUGACUUCCAUCUUUUCUGUCCUCUUUGUCUGCUUUCCCUGGCAGCCGACAUACUUUCACUUUUGGUCUCAGUUCGAGGGUGAGAGUGCAGACAUCUUUUCUGUCUUUUUUGUCCACUCAUUUUCACUUAUGAUUUGGAUUCAUCCAGGUACCUGACAUAGGGACUGGUUUCCCAGGCAGUGGUACCAGGGAUGGUCUCCUGAGCUCCUUUCCCAUUCCCGGAACACGGUGCAGGCAUAGGGCCUUUGAGCUACACAUGAAGGAGUCCCUUGCUUAGUACAACAUUUUCAUCACCUCAUCUGUCAUAACUGUUCAUCGUUUGUUUUCUUUGCUCUUGUCGGUGUAAGUUCCCUCCUCUCCACUAUCAAGGAACCCCAUAGGGCACCCAAAACCCUUCUGGUUACCCGUGGUUUAAAGGUUAAAACUCAUGACAUGGACCAAUUUUGGGAGGAGGCCGCAAUUUUGGCCCCCUGGAUAUCCCCAGAGAACAUGUAGGACCCUGACCUAUGGAUGCGUGUUCUCUUCCCACAGGCUCAAAAUACAGUCUGGGAUUAUCCCUCCCUUGUUCUUUGUUCCCACUCUCCUGCAGUCAUCACCAGUCUUAAGAAUUCUUCCCCAGAGGAAGUGGUGGCCACUCACAACAAGGACUGCCAGGAUCAGGCUAAUAUUCACCUUUCCAUUACUGACCCCAUCCCACUUUCUCCAGAAAAACAGGAUGAUCUCAAGGAUGAAGAUGAGGGUGCCUCUGCUUCAGCCCUCAGGCUCCAAGCUGUCCUCUAGUCCUGCUGUCCCAGGUCCCCCACUCACUAGCCCUUCCUCUCCUGCCCCAUCGGAGUUAACCCCAGCUUAAACCCAGCACGAUUUAGUGGGAUUUUGUCUUCCAGCGGUCACUUCUGCGAUGCCCCAUCCCUUGUGCUGGACUGGGGGGCUUCUGGGGGGCCUCAGUCUUCUCAGGUACAUUGUGAGUCCUUCCCUGUCAAUCUUGACCCUAAUGCAGUGACUAGGCCCUGGAUUCCCACUCCUCGGGCAGACUUGGCACUAAUCAGAAAAACUGCCAAUGAUUCUGGCUCAGAGUCCCCUUAUUUUGAACAGGAACUGAAGCAAUGGGCCAUGCACCUCCAGACCUAUUAUGAUUGGUAUAAUCUCCUGAAGGCAGUGCUCGACCCCUCUGUGUUUCUUAACUGGAGGUCUGCAUACUGUUGAUGUGUUUAAGAAACAGGCUAGGAUUAACCGGAAUAUAAUCUUAACAUCUCCUUUGGCAUGCUUCCCAGUCACGGACCAGAAGAAAACCAGGACUGAGAGAUAUAAUGUCCAUACUUUUUUAUUCAUUUUUCUUCAGCCUAGGAGGGCCAAUGAGCUCUUGGCUUUAGUGUCCCUGCCCCCUGUCCCUUUACCUGUGGCAGUUAACUCCCCAGCCUACCCUGUUCUUUUCUCUUCCAAUGCAAGUUUGGGUUUGCCUUUCAUGGACUUAGUUACUUCCACACAACAAUUAGAAAGUACCUGGCCCACGGAGGAAAUUCUCUGCUUUGCCACCAAUGUCUCCUCAGUUGACCCUUGCAUCCAACUACACAAUAUGACCAUAGAGGACUUCCAUGGUAAUCUAACCUAUGGCACCAUGUUAGGCAUGGAAAUUCACAUUCCACUUACUAAAUACAAAUCCCCAAAAGUUCCUCCAAGCAUAUCAUGUCCACUGCUGCCUUGCUGUCCAAGGGUCACUCAAAUGCCCACUUUCAUGGGACUCCCUAUCCCUUGAGAGCACUGCCCGCCUGCACUAGGUAUAAAAUUAGCCAAGGACUACCCAAUAUUGUCAUCUAACCUCACACUUCACAUGUGAUGCUUCAAUAUUACUCCCUAUGUUAACAGGGAUCCCAUUAGAAUCCAGUAUGACCAAUAGUAUGAGCUAUUGGGAUUUAUGUGGCCCCCUCUAAUUGUCUUGAUUUACCCCCUUAGUCGCCUAAAAGGUGGCCAUCUCUCUAAUAGGACAUAUUUCCAUAUAAACCAAUCAGUGAAAAUGUGGACUGGGGCUGGUCCUGUGAAUGUGACCAUUGGCAGCCAGAGUGGCUGGAAAGCCACACCAGUCUGUGUCCAACCUUUCCUUUCUGGUCACCAAUACCUCCAUUGUCAGGGACAGUCUUACCUGCUUUAAUGAGAAAUGUCUCCUGACCAUCUGCUGGAUUCAGUAUUCAACAAUGGCCAUCCUGAUGAGGGAACCAGCCAUCAUUUGCAUGCUUGUGGUAAAUAACACUCACUAUCAUGCAGUCACUCUGAUAGCCCAGACUCACAACACCUACACUGGUAUUAUAGCUGCCAUCAUCGCAGCCAUCACUGCAGGCAUUGACAGAGCGACAACAGCUGCUGUUGCUUUGACCCAGACAACCACUAGGGCAGAGACUGUCAAUGCUGUUGUCUCUAAGUCAGCUAAGGUGUUACAGGCACAGGAGGUACUAAAUCAACAUCUUUAUCAAGCCAUCCACUUUUACAACAACAGAUUGACUGAGUGGCAGAAGAGUUGGCCCUGGUUAGGGACAUCUCUCUAUUGGCAUGUGAUCCCAGGUUUCACUCAAUCUGCCUAACCCCUUACCAGGUAUAUAACACCACUGAAGCCCAACAGCAGUUGGGCUCAAUAUCUUGAUGGUCUCUGGUCAGACAAAUUCCUUAACUGUUCUGUGCUGCUAAGGGAAAACAAAACCAACCUCAAUAUGACCAGGGUGUCUGUGCUCUCCCUAGAUAACCUCAAUGUGACCAGAGUGUCUGUGCUCUCCCUAGAAGGCCUCAAUGUGACCAGGGUGUCUGUGUUCUCCCCAGAUGCCAGACUCUUGGGAAAGGCUGUUUGACCCCUUGUGGAUAGCCUCUUGUGAUAUGAUGGGAGGAAUUGUCAUAUUAAUAAUUAUUUUGUUUAAGUGUCUCACACAGCAUAUCUCCAGGCAAUGCUCCAUAAAUAAGGCGGCCCUCCAGGUGCUGAUGGCUCUUGAAAAUCUCAGUUUUGGCCUCCCUAAGGAAGUGAUCAAAGCCUGGAUGGCAGAGAUCUGUGAGACCACCAUGUUGGCUGUUCCUCAUCUCCCUCUUGUGUGGCAUGCCUCCAGAGUGCUAUUUCUUUGAGGGCUGGUAGUCAGUGAUGGGUAAGAUUCUGGAAGACAGGAGAACCUGAGACAGGCACAGUUCAGUAUACUGGGAAUCCUCUGCGGGUUGGAUCAACAAUAUCAAGGCAAUGGCACCCCAGCUCCCACU